Molecule: long non-coding RNA, 1592 nt
Filed under: Pan troglodytes (chimpanzee)
Lineage: Eukaryota; Metazoa; Chordata; Mammalia; Primates; Hominidae
Description: long non-coding RNA NONPTRT009639
Source: RNAcentral
UUCUAAGGUGAACCCCAACAACCCCAACUCCUCACUUUCCAGAGCAGUCCACGGAUAUUUUGAUCCAAGAGAGAAUUACUCUGACAAGGAGUCCCUGUCGUUCAUGAUAGACACGAUGAAAUCCACCCUCAAAGAGGUUUCUUGGCGUUGUCACCACAAAGGGAAGAAGCCCACCUGUGGCUGGCUGGCUGGCCGCCAGGUCAGAGCCAAGGCAGGCAGGGCCUUCCUGUCUGGCUUCUUGAAGGCAGACACAAGUCUGCAGGCUGCUCACGUCAUCUCAUUAUCUUUUCUCACGGGGACUACUUCGGAUACAAUCACAGCAACCCUGGCCUCGGCCCUGCCCUGUCCCUGCCAUGCAGCUUCACAACUCAGCUGGCCUAGACCCCUGAGAGGCCUCCAAGUCCCUAGGGUUGGACACCUCCUGGGGUGCUAUGGACUGUCGGGGCUCCAAGGAGCCGAGUGUGGGGGGAACUCACUGUGGGAGGCGCUCCUGACCUGCAGGGAGCUGGAAGGCUGUGGGAGGGCCCUGACCCCAGGGCCCAUGGAGCUCCCUAGGCUCCUCUGGCCACACCUCACUACCCACCCCCUCCCCUCUCCAGCGGUUCCAGUUUGUGGAAGUCCCAGGCAAUCACUGUGUCCACAUGAGCGAACCCCAGCACGUGGCCAGUAUCAUCAGCUCCUUCUUACAGUGCACACACACGCUCCCAGCCCAGCUGUAGCUCUGGGCCUGGAACUAUGAAGACCUAGUGCUCCCAGACUCAACACUGGGACUCUGAGUUCCUGAGCCCCACAACAAGGCCAGGGAUGGUGGGGACAUGCCUCACUAGUCUUGAGGCCCAGCCUAGGAUGGUAGUCAGGGGAAGGAGUGAGAUUCCAACUUCAACAUCUGUGACCUCAAGGGGGAGACAGAGUCUGGGUUCCAGGGCUGCUUUCUCCUGGCUAAUAAUCUCCAGCCAGCUGGAGGAAGGAAGGGCGGGCUGGGCGCACCUAGCCUUUCCCUGCUGCCCAACUGGAUGGAAAAUAAAAGGUUCUUGUAUUCUCACUGCUUUUGAGGCUUUUUCGUUGCCAGCAAGGGCUUUUGCAUUGAGGGAAAAGGAAGCACAGAACGGAUUCAUCCAGGGUCCUGGAGAGGAGGGUGUGGAGGCAAGAAGCAGGAAGGACAAGUCCUCCAGUCGGCACGCCUGGGUCCCCAGGACUGCUGAAGCACAAGACCCGAGGGGUGGCCUGGUCCUUCACUCCUGGCCUGUGUGGACUCUGAUGGGGCUGUUUGACACGGUGGCCUUCAACCUGGGGCCCGUUGGCCAGAGCUCGGCCUCUCAGAGACCGCUGCAGGCCCUGCCUCGCCUCCUCCUGGCCCUGCACCUCCAGCCAUUCACUGCGGCUCUCAGGCUCAGUAGGGUCGGAAUUUGCGCUGGGCCCGCAGCAGCUCGAUCCUCUGCUUGUCCUCCUCGAACUUCUUGCGCAGCUGCGCUAGAUCUGGGGGUGAGAGGAGGCGCGGGGCAGGGUCAGACAGCGCGCCCGGGGAAGCAGGCUUGCUCAUGCUCCACCCCUCCUCCCAGUUACUGUGGGGGUGGGGCUAUGUCUCCCCCACC